RNAcentral lists this transfer RNA (77 nucleotides) under Shewanella piezotolerans WP3. RNAcentral's name for it is "tRNA-Asp". Lineage: Bacteria; Pseudomonadati; Pseudomonadota; Gammaproteobacteria; Alteromonadales; Shewanellaceae. The record is from RNAcentral.
UCAUAUACAGUUUUUUGACGGAGUCCUUAUGUCCGCAGUUCCUCAGCCAAACUUUGAUCCGCUUGCUAGCAAUCGCC